Long non-coding RNA from Eurytemora carolleeae, 260 nucleotides. RefSeq lists it as uncharacterized. The record is from RefSeq and is a predicted model, not a curated record. NCBI's taxonomy places the organism in Eukaryota, Metazoa, Arthropoda, Copepoda, Calanoida, Temoridae. The transcript is spliced from 2 exons.
UCGGAGAAGGGAUAUUCGGUAGAAGUUCCGCUGGAAGAGUACACAUGGAGCUAACAGUUGUCUUCGGUCUAAUCCUGACUUUUUAUUAAAUCAAAAAAAAGAGGUCCAAAUUCAAGAAGAAGUAUAAAUUGUAGUAACUGGACAUUGGAAAUCCUGAAGUACUUGAAGUGUACAUAUUUACAUACACUUUAACAACAUUGAUUGUAAAUGUAACUUUUUACAUCAGUAAUGUACACAUAAAUCCCUUCCCCAUCUGUUAA